This 254-nucleotide ribosomal RNA is filed under the name uncultured bacterium. Its description in RNAcentral is "partial 16S ribosomal RNA". It matches the Rfam family "Bacterial small subunit ribosomal RNA", at positions 524 to 776 of the family's 1533-position model. The record is from RNAcentral.
UACGUAGGGGGCGAGCGUUGUCCGGAUUUAUUGGGCGUAAAGAGCUCGUAGGUGGUUUGGUAAGUCGGAUGUGAAAUCUCCAGGCUCAACCUGGAGGGGUCAUUCGAUACUGCCAUGACUAGAGUUCGGUAGGGGAGUGUGGAAUUCCUGGUGGAGCGGUGAAAUGCGCAGAUAUCAGGAGGAACACCCGUAGCGAAGGCGGCUCACUGGCCCGGUACUGACGCUGAGGCACGAAAGCGUGGGGAGCAAACAGG